UUUCCAUUCAGUAGUCCCGGACGAAUUUAAAACAUAACGUACGGUUUGGACAUAAUGGAGAAAUAGAACAUUACUCUUUUUGCAGCGAAGCUGAAAACUAUUUUCGUUUUGCUAGCCAUAAGUGUAAAACAAUU
RNAcentral lists this small RNA (134 nucleotides) under Caenorhabditis remanei. Its description in RNAcentral is "Caenorhabditis sRNA ceN93". It matches the Rfam family "Caenorhabditis sRNA ceN93". Lineage: Eukaryota; Metazoa; Nematoda; Chromadorea; Rhabditida; Rhabditidae. The record is from Rfam by way of RNAcentral. RNAcentral also lists the same sequence under 1 other name.